RNAcentral lists this ribosomal RNA (427 nucleotides) under uncultured bacterium. Its description in RNAcentral is "partial 16S ribosomal RNA". It matches the Rfam family "Bacterial small subunit ribosomal RNA", at positions 355 to 774 of the family's 1533-position model. The record is from RNAcentral.
UGGGGAAUUUUGGACAAUGGGGGCAACCCUGAUCCAGCCAUUCCGCGUGAGUGAAGAAGGCCUUCGGGUUGUAAAGCUCUUUCGGCAGGAACGAAACGGCGCGCUCUAACAUAGCGCGUUAAUGACGGUACCUGAAGAAGAAGCACCGGCUAACUACGUGCCAGCAGCCGCGGUAAUACGUAGGGUGCGAGCGUUAAUCGGAAUUACUGGGCGUAAAGCGUGCGCAGGCGGUUGUGUAAGACAGGUGCGAAAUCCCCGGGCUUAACCUGGGAACUGCGCUUGUGACUGCACGGCUAGAGUAUGGCAGAGGGGGGUGGAAUUCCACGUGUAGCAGUGAAAUGCGUAGAGAUGUGGAGGAACACCGAUGGCGAAGGCAGCCCCCUGGGCCAAUACUGACGCUCAUGCACGAAAGCGUGGGGAGCAAACA